RNAcentral lists this ribosomal RNA (449 nucleotides) under uncultured bacterium. RNAcentral's name for it is "bacterial SSU rRNA". It matches the Rfam family "Bacterial small subunit ribosomal RNA", at positions 29 to 523 of the family's 1533-position model. The record is from RNAcentral.
AACGAACGCUGGCGGCAUGCCUAACACAUGCAAGUCGAGCGCCCGUAGCAAUACGGGAGCGGCGCACGGGUGAGUAACGCGUGGGAACCUGCCCAGAGGUUCGGGACAACCGCGGGAAACUGCGGCUGAUACCGGAUGAUACCUGAGGGUCAAAGAUUUAUCGCCUUUGGAGGGGCCCGCGUCGGAUUAGGUAGUUGGUGGGGUAACGGCCUACCAAGCCUAUGAUCCGUAACUGGUCUGAGAGGAUGACCAGUCACACUGGGACUGAGACACGGCCCAGACUCCUACGGGAGGCAGCAGUGGGGAGUAUUGGACAAUGGGGGCAACCCUGAUCCAGCAAUGCCGCGUGGGUGAUGAAGGCCUCGGGUUGUAAAGCCUUUCGGCGGGACGAUGAUGACGGUACCCGCAGAAGAAGCCCCGGCGUAACUUCGUGCCAGCAGCCGCGGUAA